UGCAAGUCGAGCGGAGACAGUGAGUAGCUUGCUAUGAGCUGUUUUAGCGGCGGACGGGUGAGUAACGCGUGAGCAACCUUUCCCAGACAGGGGAAUAACACACCGAAAGGUGUACUAAUACCGCAUAAGACCACGGGAUCACAUGGCUCUGAGGUAAAAGAUUUAUCGGUUUGGGGUGGGCUCGCGUCCGACUAGGUAGUUGGUGAGGUAACGGCCCACCAAGCCGACGAUCGGUAGCCGACCUGAGAGGGUGAUCGGCCACAUUGGGACUGAGACACGGCCCAAACUCCUACGGGAGGCAGCAGUGGGGAAUAUUGGGCAAUGGAGGAAACUCUGACCCAGCAACGCCGCGUGGAGGAAGAAGGUUUUCGGAUCGUAAACUCCUGUCCUUGGAGACGAGUAGAAGACGGUAUCCAAGGAGGAAGCCCCGGCUAACUACGUGCCAGCAGCCGCGGUAAUACGUAGGGGGCAAGCGUUGUCCGGAAUAAUUGGGCGUAAAGGGCGCGUAGGCGGCUCGGUAAGUCUGGAGUGAAAGUCCUGCUUUUAAGGUGGGAAUUGCUUUGGAUACUGUCGGGCUUGAGUGCAGGAGAGGUUAGUGGAAUUCCCAGUGUAGCGGUGAAAUGCGUAGAGAUUGGGAGGAACACCAGUGGCGAAGGCGACUAACUGGACUGUAACUGACGCUGAGGCGCGAAAGUGUGGGGAGCAAACAGGAUUAGAUACC
Molecule: ribosomal RNA, 721 nt
Filed under: uncultured bacterium
Lineage: Bacteria
Description: bacterial SSU rRNA
Rfam family: Bacterial small subunit ribosomal RNA
Source: RNAcentral